RNAcentral lists this ribosomal RNA (503 nucleotides) under uncultured bacterium. RNAcentral's name for it is "partial 16S ribosomal RNA". It matches the Rfam family "Bacterial small subunit ribosomal RNA", at positions 29 to 523 of the family's 1533-position model. The record is from RNAcentral.
AACGAACGCUGGCGGCACGUUUUAAGCAUGCAAGUCGAACGGCAGUGGGGGCAACCCCAUGAGAGUGGCGAACGGGUGAGUAACACGUAGGUGAUCUGCCUUUGGGUUGGGGAUAGCUUGUGGAAACACAGGGUAAUACCGAAUGAGCUGACAAGGCUUUGGCCAUGUUAGUAAAGGUGCUACGGCACCGCCUAGAGAGGAGCCUGCGGCUGAUUAGCUAGUUGGUGGGGUAAAGGCCUACCAAGGCGACGAUCAGUAGCCGGCCUGAGAGGGUGUACGGCCACACUGGAACUGAGACACGGUCCAGACUCCUACGGGAGGCAGCAGCUAAGAGUCUUCCGCAAUGGGCGAAAGCCUGACGGAGCGAUGCCGCGUGAUCGAUGAAGGUCGAGAGAUUGUAAAGAUCUCUUCCAACUGAGGAAUAAGUGGACCAGGGAAUGGGUUCAUGAUGACGUUAAGUUGGGAAUAAGCCCCGGCUAAUUACGUGCCAGCAGCCGCCGUAA